Long non-coding RNA from Anguilla rostrata (American eel), 901 nucleotides. RefSeq lists it as uncharacterized. The record is from RefSeq and is a predicted model, not a curated record. NCBI's taxonomy places the organism in Eukaryota, Metazoa, Chordata, Actinopteri, Anguilliformes, Anguillidae. The transcript is spliced from 2 exons.
CCUGGUGCUCAAAUAGCAGCUGCGUAUACUGGUCCCGCUGCUCCUGUCCUCGCUGCAGGACGGCCCGGUUAGCGUUGUCCAUGUCCCUCAGCGCGUCAAACAAUCUAUAAUGACUCAUUCCUGCCCCAAGUGGGAUGAAGGGAGAUUUUCCUGCUGGUUGAACGUCUUGGUCCUCGGCUGUAACAACAUCUGUGAAGCAGAAGGAUCUGAAGAAUGGGCUGUAGGUAGCGGAGACUGGAUGAGCUGGCACUUCCAAUGGCAUGGCUACAAAGACUCAGUCAUAGACUGCAGAAGAACUUCUGGAAGUCUUUGCUUGUACCCUCUGUGUAAAGCUCAUAGCUGUCCUUCAGCUCUUCUGGGGAUAGGUUGAUUACAAUGAGGAUCAGGAGCAAGUGAUGCAUCCUCAAGAUUUACACUUAAUGUAACUAAUGUUCUUAUGAAUGUUAUGAAUAUAUUAUGUGAGCAACAUUCCUAGAUCUGUGACCCUCUGUGUCAUUGUAAAAGAUGGAGCUUUUAGAACAAUAACCUGUGUAUGUAUUAGAUUUAAAAAUGUCGGCAAGGUCUAGAAUUAGUAGUGUAUGUGAUGUACAGUAAAGAAAUGGGUAUUCAUUGUGAUCCACAGCUGUCUGGUUGGUCAUACAUCAAGAUAAAAAGAAAAUAAGUUUGUGUUUAUGGGGUGAAGUCAGAUGUGAAGUUUCGGCCACACCACUUUUAGAUAUGUGAUCCCACCUCUGGAUGUAAUAGUAGACAUGCAUCUGCCUGGGUAUAGACAUUGUGAUGAAGCUGCAAAAAAGGGAAAAAAUGCUGAAACAAACUGCAAGAUCAUUUGAGUAUAAAUCAUAGGAAUUAUAUUAAAAUUGCAAUCCUUAAUUUUUUCAUAUUAAAAAAAUGCUAUAUGCGA